RNAcentral lists this ribosomal RNA (253 nucleotides) under uncultured bacterium. RNAcentral describes it as "partial 16S ribosomal RNA". It matches the Rfam family "Bacterial small subunit ribosomal RNA", at positions 524 to 776 of the family's 1533-position model. The record is from RNAcentral.
UACGGGGGGGGCAAGCGUUGUUCGGAAUUACUGGGCGUAAAGGGCUCGUAGGUGGCUUGUUAAGUCAGACGUGAAAUCCCUCAGCUUAACUGGGGAACUGCGUCUGAUACUGGCGAGCUUGAGUGCAGGAGAGGAACGCGGAAUUCCAGGCGUAGCGGUGAAAUGCGUAGAUAUCUGGAGGAACACCGGUGGCGAAGGCGGCGUUCUGGACUGCAACUGACACUGAGAAACGAAAGCCAGGGUAGCAAACGGG